Cornus florida is the source of this 2183-nucleotide long non-coding RNA. RefSeq lists it as uncharacterized. The transcript is spliced from 3 exons. The record is from RefSeq and is a predicted model, not a curated record. NCBI's taxonomy places the organism in Eukaryota, Viridiplantae, Streptophyta, Magnoliopsida, Cornales, Cornaceae.
UUUAAAAAAUAUAAAUUAUAAAUCGUAAGACUACACAUAUAUGUGUAGAUGGAUACAAUAUGAAUGUUAAUACAAAAAACUGUGGUAAACAAUAUUGUAAUGGUCUGAUUUAAUAUAUAUAGAUAUGUGGUGUAAGUUAAAAACAAAAGGAAAAAAAAAAGAGAGAAAAGAAAAUUCAAAAAAAAAAAAAAAAAAAGAUGGGACCCACUAAUGGUUUAAGUGGUCAUAAGACUCUCUGUAAUCUAAUUCCGUCUCUCUCGUUUAUGUCUCUGUGUCUUCCUCUCUGCUCUUUGUUUUUUUUUAUUUUUUUACAAAUUCAAGGCUUGAUUUCUCCCUCAUUUGUUAGUGUUUUUAAGUGCCGUUUGCGGCAAAACGGAGAGCACGGCGAGUUCUACACAUGUGUACCAGCAAUUUCAGUUUUGAGCAACCUAGGGAGUCCGAAAAUUAAGACCCAUUUUGAAGAUUUGAGGUGAAAAUUGGGAGUUUUGCUUAAAAGUGAGAACGAUGUCACGGUGUGAAGAACUAAGGGAAGUUGGUUCUAGGCCAACAAGGGGUGAUGUUGGCGAGAGCUCGAGCUCUAAUCCGGCGGAGCCAGUUGACGAGGACACACUUCUUAGGGAUUUGAUUGCCCCUAGAAGUUUCCCUAUAAGUAGGGAUAACGUGGAAGCACCCGUUGAAGAGGGUGAAAGUUCGGCGAAACUAGUAUAAAUCGCUUGUUGCAGAAGGCCUUGAGGGCCACUAUUACUACUCAGCCGCAGCCGAUACCGCAGCCGGUACCACAACCGGUAGUGUAAGUAGAGGAGACGCCAGCACAGAAGCGUCUUAAGAUUAUUAAAGUUUCUCAGUUGAUGCCAGUGAUGUUUGAAAGUGGUGCAGAUCCCAUGGUAGUGGAUGACCAGAUGGAGUAAGUUGAAACUCAAUUGACUUCUAUGGAUGUGGCGGAGGAUCACUUGAAAAUCAUCCUAGCCACUUACAAGUUUACAAAGGAUGCCAAGUUUUGGUGGAAAUCGAUCAUAAAUCAGUAUAAGAUUGAAGAGAUGAGUUGGGAUAGGUUUAAGGAGCUGUUAUAUAAGAAGUAUUUUCCUGCUCCCAAGAGGUGGGAGUUAAAGGAUCAGUUUAUUGACCUUAUCCAAGGCAAUAUGUCAGUGACAGAGUACGAGAACAAGUUCACUUCUCUUUCCCGCUUUGCUGCAGAGAUGGUGAGUAAUGAAGUUGAUAAGGUUCGGAAGUUUAUCUCCGGACUUGACUACAAGAUGAGGCCGUUGUUAACAGCAUAAAGCAUCAAGGUUUAUUCUGAGGCAGUGGAAAGGGCAUUGAUGCUAGAGGCGGAGGCCAAAGAUAAAGAUGCAAGAAGGGAAUAGUGGAAACAAAAGAGGAAUGCAGGGUCAUUUCCAGAGGGACCUUCAGGGAAGAGGAAUAGGGGUGGUUCAUCUCAGUUUCAGGGGCGGCCGUCUGCAUGAUCUACUCCUACCACUCUAUGCCAGCUGGGUCAGAUAAGAGUGCAGUUGUUUGUUAUCAGUGUCAGCAGCCUGGACAUUACAAGUUCAGAUGUCCUAUGAACUCAACCACAGUUUCUGCACCAUCGAGAGCUUGUUAUGGGUGUGGCCAGCAGGGCCAUCUGAUUCGGGAUUGUCCUACUUGAGGACCAGGCACUGGUAGUUGCAGAGGGUCAUAGCAGAGGCCGUCACAGUCGGCUACGGUUCAGUCAGGUUUCAGACCACCGCCACCACCACAGCCUGCCAUAUCUUCUCAGGGUUCACGAUCAGCUAGGAGGGAUACUUCUACUGUGUCGGCACAACAGUCUGGUGUUCAGAUUGGUAGUUCUCAAGCACCGCAGGGACGUGUUUUUGCACUUGCACUGACUGAUGCAUCUCCUGAAUCUUCAGUUCUCCGAGGAAACGGGAAAGAAGUGGCGGAUGACAUUCUACCACAGGCUUAAUAUGGAUUAGGAGCUUAUUUUGUUGUUUUGUACUUAUGUUGUAAAACAUGGAAAUUUGAUAUUAAUCUUGUAUUUUGAGACUGUAAUUAUGAUAUCUGGAUGAUAUAGUAUGUGGUUGUACCACCAUGGAAUGUAUUAUAUGUUUAUUGUAUUGGGACAGGUUAAAAAUACAUUUAAACAUGUUGUAGGACGAUUUUUAGCAGAGGUCAUGCCGAUUUUUUAUUUUAUUUUAAUUUUGGCAUCA